Molecule: ribosomal RNA, 509 nt
Filed under: Scaptomyza hennigi
Lineage: Eukaryota; Metazoa; Arthropoda; Insecta; Diptera; Drosophilidae
Description: partial 16S ribosomal RNA
Rfam family: Bacterial large subunit ribosomal RNA
Source: RNAcentral
GUCUUUUUGAAAUAAAUUUAAAGUCUAACCUGCCCACUGAAAAUUUAAAUGGCCGCAGUAUUCUAACUGUGCAAAGGUAGCAUAAUCAUUAGUCUUUUAAUUGAAGGCUGGAAUGAAUGGUUGGACGAAAUAUUAACUGUUUCAUUUGAAUUUUUGAUAGAAUUUUAUUUUUUAGUCAAAAAGCUAAAAUUUGUUUAAAAGACGAGAAGACCCUAUAAAUCUUUAUAUUUUAUUUAUUUUAAUUAUAUAGAUUAUUUUUGUUAUAAUAAUUUAAAAUAUUUUAUUGGGGUGAUAUUAAAAUUUAAAAAACUUUUAAUUUAAAAAAUCAUUAAUAUAUGAAUAAUUGAUCCAUUAGUAAUGAUUAAAAAUUUAAGUUACUUUAGGGAUAACAGCGUAAUUUUUUUGGAGAGUUCAUAUCGAUAAAAAAGAUUGCGACCUCGAUGUUGGAUUAAGAUAUAAUUUUGGGUGUAGCUGUUCAAAUUUUAAGUCUGUUCGACUUUUAAAUUCUU